AAGUCGUAACAAGGUUUCCGUAGGUGAACCUGCGGAAGGAUCAUUAUCACGUAUCCACGUAUCAACCAUUGUGAACUGUGCUUACCGUUAAAAGUUUUGGAAAGAGUGUGAUAAUAAACGUUUCUUUCUCACGAAGGAAGAGGUAAAAGUGAUUUGAUUUACCUUAGUUUAUUAUUACCAACAAUUUUAACGAAUUGUCUUUCUAAUUUUUAACGAGUAUUUUCAAAUCAAUUUCAUUAACAAUUUAAACCCAAUUUUAAUAAAUUGUGAACUGAAAUAAUUUCUUACUCGUUUUUCACGAAAUGAGAAGAAAUAAUCUUACGAAACAUAAGAACAACUCUUAGCAACGGAUAUCUUGGUUCUC
RNAcentral lists this unclassified non-coding RNA (364 nucleotides) under fungal sp. RNAcentral describes it as "partial internal transcribed spacer region". The stretch from base 1 to 46 matches the Rfam family "Eukaryotic small subunit ribosomal RNA", at positions 1786 to 1831 of the family's 1831-position model. Lineage: Eukaryota; Fungi. The record is from RNAcentral.